UCCAGCGCACUCACCUAUCCACUAAACAGCAACUUCAAUGUUGAAAGAUUUUAUUUGUUUUUUUAAAAACACCUAAUCUAGGCAAAAAUAAUGUAAUAUAAUGUAACUAAACCCCCAUUAUUUUUGCCUAGAUUAGGUGUUUUUAAAUAAACAAAUAAAAUCUUUCAACAUUGAAGUUGCUGUUUAGUGGAUAGGUGAGUGCGCUGGA
Pelobates cultripes (western spadefoot toad) is the source of this 208-nucleotide non-coding RNA. NCBI's taxonomy places the organism in Eukaryota, Metazoa, Chordata, Amphibia, Anura, Pelobatidae. The record is from the annotation of a GenBank genome assembly.